RNAcentral lists this ribosomal RNA (223 nucleotides) under uncultured bacterium. RNAcentral describes it as "partial 16S ribosomal RNA". It matches the Rfam family "Bacterial small subunit ribosomal RNA", at positions 524 to 746 of the family's 1533-position model. The record is from RNAcentral.
UACGUAGGGUCCGAGCGUUGUCCGGAAUUAUUGGGCGUAAAGAGCUCGUAGGCGGUCUGUCGCGUCUGCUGUGAAAACUCAGGGCUUAACCCUGAGCUUGCAGUGGGUACGGGCAGACUAGAGUGCGGUAGGGGAGACUGGAAUUCCUGGUGUAGCGGUGAAAUGCGCAGAUAUCAGGAGGAACACCGGUGGCGAAGGCGGAUCUCUGGGCCUUACCUGACGC